RNAcentral lists this long non-coding RNA (408 nucleotides) under Macaca fascicularis (crab-eating macaque). RNAcentral describes it as "lncRNA (ENSMFAG00000053933.1)". The record is from RNAcentral. Lineage: Eukaryota; Metazoa; Chordata; Mammalia; Primates; Cercopithecidae.
CUGGCUGUAGACAGCAUUAUCAGCCCUCAGUUCAUCAGGAUGGGCUCCGUGGCCUGUAGGUGGGUUUUCUAAAUGUAAUAAAUUCCAUAUGUCACAGCCAUUUAGUAUAUUAUUAGCCAGUUAGAAGUUUUGCCCCUGCUGAAUCUUACAUGCUUUUAAAAUAAAAUCUAUUUCACAGCUGAGUAAGUGUAAAUAUUUUAAAUACCGGCCUUAGAUUUGCCAUCAGCAGGCUAACUUUGCCAUCUAGUGGUAGCAACGUGGAUAACAGGCAAGUUCUUCCCUGGAUGACUAGGAAUUGAACCUUCCUGAGAAGCAUUGAUGACCAUUUCUCUCUGCAGUUAUUCAGAAUCAUCUGGCCAGGCCCCAGUGUCUCCCUGUUGUGUGUCAAUCCUGAGUAGGUGGAGGAUG